Molecule: ribosomal RNA, 305 nt
Filed under: uncultured bacterium
Lineage: Bacteria
Description: bacterial SSU rRNA
Rfam family: Bacterial small subunit ribosomal RNA
Source: RNAcentral
UGUGCCUACGGGACGCAGCAGUGGGGAAUAUUGGGCAAUGGGCGCAAGCCUGACCCAGCAAUGCCGCGUGAAGGAAGAAGGCCCUCGGGUUGUAAACUUCUUUUAUCAGGGACGAAGGAUGUGACGGUACCUGAUGAAUAAGCUCCGGCUAACUACGUGCCAGCAGCCGCGGUAAUACGUAGGGAGCAAGCGUUAUCCGGAUUUACUGGGUGUAAAGGGCGCGUAGGCGGGAUUGCAAGUCAGAUGUGAAAACCACGGGCUCAACCUGUGGCCUGCCUUUGAAACUGUAGUUCUUGAGUGCUGGG